CUCAUGUGUGAGGGGUUUGAUCUCAGUGCUGAUGCAAGAGCUCUGAAGCCUUCAUCUCCAAUACUGCAGUGUGACAGACUGUAGAGAGAAAAAGGAGAGAGCAGUGACCCCACCUGGUCUCAAACACGGGUCUCCAAACUAAACAUGCAACUUGUGUUUGUGUGUGUGAAGUACAUUGUCAUCUUGAGAGCCCCUUCUCUGGCAUCACUCUCAUCCUGCUCUUUACCCUCAACGUUUUCUUGGUAAUCUGGACUCAGAAUCUUCUUGAAUCUCUUCAGCUCAUUCUUCACAAAGUCCAUUAUCUUCUCCUCAAGCACCUGGAGCUGUUGUGUACCACUGCUGUCGGUCUGAGUCUCCGCCCUUCCUCUGGCUGCUCCUGGUUCUCACCUGCUCACCUCUCACCUGCUUCCACUGGUGUCUCUGAUCUGCCUACCAAUCAGCCUCAAUCAGCCUGCAUCUGAUUGCAAUUUCAGCUUUAAAAUCCCCAUUACCAGUCUGCCUCCCUGUCAGAAUGUUCCCGUAGCAGUUCUCGAGUGCGACCUGCCUGCCUGCCUGAGUUUUUGCCUGCCUGGUUUUGACCUCUGCCUGGUUUUCAUCGGCUGUGUUCUCUGCCUGAAGAUUUAGUACUUUUGCCAAGUUUUUUUCUGUUUUUUGCCUGCCUGUGUUUUGUUGCCGGUGAAUGAAGACUGGCCUACUGCCGUGAAGGAGGAUUGACUUUUGUGUUUCACCUGCACCCUCUCUGGAGUGUCCAGUUGCCUGUGCCCUGUUCUCCUGCUGGGGUUUUGCCUUCUACGACUGUUUCUUUCUGAACUGUUUUUUGUGCUUUUUCUGAAGGCUGCUUUCUGUUGAAGAUUGGCCCAGUGUGUUCCCUGUGGAUUACUCUCAGGACUGUGGAAGCUCUGUUUUUUGUCUCUGUUAAUAAAUCUCAUCUGAGUCAA
Molecule: long non-coding RNA, 938 nt
Organism: Alosa sapidissima (American shad)
Lineage: Eukaryota; Metazoa; Chordata; Actinopteri; Clupeiformes; Clupeidae
Exons: 4
Source: RefSeq, a predicted model, not a curated record